Molecule: ribosomal RNA, 410 nt
Filed under: uncultured microorganism
Description: bacterial SSU rRNA
Rfam family: Bacterial small subunit ribosomal RNA
Source: RNAcentral
GAGUUUGAUCUUGGCUCAGAUUGAACGCUGGCGGCAUGCCUUACACAUGCAAGUCGAACGGCAGCAUGAUCUAGCUUGCUAGAUUGAUGGCGAGUGGCGAACGGGUGAGUAAUACAUCGGAACGUGCCCUGUAGUGGGGAUAACUAGUCGAAAGAUUAGCUAAUACCGCAUACGACCUGAGGGUGAAAGUGGGGGACCGCAAGGCCUCAUGCUAUAGGAGCGGCCGAUGUCUGAUUAGCUAGUUGGUGGGGUAAAGGCCCACCAAGGCGACGAUCAGUAGCUGGUCUGAGAGGACGAUCAGCCACACUGGGACAGAGACACGGCCCAGACUCCUACGGGAGGCAGCAGUGGGGAAUUUUGGACAAUGGGCGAAAGCCUGAUCCAGCAAUGCCGCGUGUGUGAAGAAGGCC